RNAcentral lists this unclassified non-coding RNA (351 nucleotides) under soil metagenome. RNAcentral describes it as "partial contains 5.8S ribosomal RNA, internal transcribed spacer 2, and large subunit ribosomal RNA". The stretch from base 1 to 120 matches the Rfam family "5.8S ribosomal RNA", at positions 35 to 154 of the family's 154-position model. The record is from RNAcentral.
GAUGAAGAACGUAGUGAAAUGCGAUAAGUAAUGUGAAUUGCAGAAUUCAGUGAAUCAUCGAAUCUUUGAACGCACAUUGCGCCCGCCAGUAUUCUGGCGGGCAUGCCUGUUCGAGCGUCAUUACAACCCUCAGGCCCCCGGGCCUGGCGUUGGGGAUCGGCAGAAGCCCCCUGUGGGCACACGCCGUCCCUCAAAUACAGUGGCGGUCCCGCCGCAGCUUCCAUUGCGUAGUAGCUAACACCUCGCAACUGGAGAGCGGCGCGGCCAUGCCGUAAAACACCCAACUUCUGAAUGUUGACCUCGAAUCAGGUAGGAAUACCCGCUGAACUUAAGCAUAUCAAAAGCGGAGGA